AACGAACGCUGGCGGCAUGCCUAACACAUGCAAGUCGAACGAGACCUUCGGGUCUAGCGGCGCACGGGUGCGUAACGCGUGGGAACCUGCCCUUAGGUUCGGAAUAACUCCCCGAAAGGGGUGCUAAUACCGGAUAAUGUCUUCGGACCAAAGAUUUAUCGCCUUUGGAUGGGCCCGCGUUGGAUUAGCUAGCUGGUAGGGUAAAAGCCUACCAAGGCGACGAUCCAUAGCUGGUCUGAGAGGAUGAUCAGCAACACUGGGACUGAGACACGGCCCAGACUCCUACGAAAGGAAGAAGGUGGGAAUAUUGAACGCUGGGCGAGAGCUUGAGCCAGCAAUGCCGCGUAAGUGAUGAAGGCCUUAGGAUUGUAAAGCUCUUUUACACGGGAUGAUAAUGACGGUACCGGGAGAAUAAGCUCCGGCUAACUCCGUG
This 433-nucleotide ribosomal RNA is filed under the name uncultured bacterium. Its description in RNAcentral is "partial 16S ribosomal RNA". It matches the Rfam family "Bacterial small subunit ribosomal RNA", at positions 29 to 507 of the family's 1533-position model. The record is from RNAcentral.